Hordeum vulgare subsp. vulgare (domesticated barley) is the source of this 124-nucleotide non-coding RNA. The record is from Rfam. Lineage: Eukaryota; Viridiplantae; Streptophyta; Magnoliopsida; Poales; Poaceae.
CUUAUACUCCCUUCGUCCGGAAAUACUUGUCAUAGAAAUAGAUGUAUCUAGACUUAUUUUAGUUAUAGAUACUUUCAUUUUAUACAUUUCUAGAACAAGUAUUUCCAGACGGAGGGAGUAUUUA